This 255-nucleotide ribosomal RNA is filed under the name uncultured bacterium. RNAcentral describes it as "partial 16S ribosomal RNA". It matches the Rfam family "Bacterial small subunit ribosomal RNA", at positions 97 to 353 of the family's 1533-position model. The record is from RNAcentral.
GGCGGACGGGUGAGUAAUGUCUGGGAAACUGCCUGAUGGAGGGGGAGUAACUACUGGAAACGGUAGCUAAUACCGCAUAACGUCGCAAGACCAAGAGGGGGACCUUCGGGCCUCUUGCCAUCGGAUGUGCCCAGAUGGGAUUAGCUAGUAGGUGGGGUAACGGCUCACCUAGGCGACGAUCCCUAGCUGGUCUGAGAGGAUGACCAGCCACACUGGAACUGAGACACGGUCCAGACUCCUACGGGAGGCAGCAUG